Molecule: long non-coding RNA, 914 nt
Filed under: Homo sapiens (human)
Lineage: Eukaryota; Metazoa; Chordata; Mammalia; Primates; Hominidae
Description: HSALNT0208391
Source: RNAcentral
CCAGUCUUAUCAGUGUGAUCUAGCCCUUCUCCUGGGGUUCUGAGCACAAGAGCCCACCAACAGCAGGAUGCAGCAAGGUGGCUGUGCACAGCACUGUGGCCAUCAUAGGCCUUGGGAGGCAGAUCAGCAUGGGUAUCCACUUCAGUGCCCUGUGACCCCAGCAGCUUGGCUCUGCCCUAGUUCCUGUCUGGAUUGAGGGUCUCUAAGGGACUAGUUUGGCCCAGGGCUGCUGUAUAAACUGGCGGUUUCAUCUGUUGAUCACGUUGACCCUCAGAUCCCUAAAGAUUAGGUUUACUCCCAGGUGACAGAGGUAGAGGAGACCCUAAAAGGGCAAUUGCCAGACAGGAGUCAAUUGAAACCUUAAGUUCCAUCCUCCAACCAACUACCCUGGGCCUCAGGGCUCUCCAUAUAAGCCUGCCCUCCCAGUCUGACUGCUGAGGCGGCGACAGCAGGGCAGUCAGCUACCUAUCCACGGAGAGUGCCUGUUAGUCAGUAACUGUUUCGAGAUCACUUUUUCUUUCUUCCUCAUUCCUCAAAACCAGUGGUGGGAUUUCAGAGCACAGCGGAAGUAGUGAAAGGAAUGAGCAAGCAAGGACACCUGAGUUCUGGGCCCAACUGUGUGACUUUAGGAAAAUCAAUGAACCCUCUUCAGUCCUCAGUAAAUCAAUUUCCUUUAUAAACUGAUCAAGACAGAUUGGAUAAUCAAUCAGAUUCCUUCCAGAUCCUAAAGCCCAUACCUUGGAAUAGUGACCUUCAAUGAACCCUAUAAAAGAAUUUUGAACUAGGCUGGGCAUGGUGGUUCACGCCUAUAAUCCCAGCAGUUUGGGAGGCUGAGGUGGAUGGAUCGCCUGAGGCCAGCCUGGCCAACAUGGUGAAACCUUAUCUAUACAAAAUAUACACAAAUUAGCCAAAGA